CCUACGGGAGGCUGCAGUGGGGAAUAUUGCGCAAUGGGCGAAAGCCUGAUGCAGCGACGCCGCGUGAGGGAUGAAGGUCUUCGGAUCGUAAACCUCUGUCAGCAGGGAAGAACGGUCACUGUGCUAAUCAGCAGUGAAUUGACGGUACCUGCAAAGGAAGCACCGGCUAACUCCGUACCAGCAGCCGCGGUAAUACGGAGGGUGCGAGCGUUAAUCGGAAUUACUGGGCGUAAGGCGCUCGUAGGCGGUAUGUCAAGUCAAGGGUGAAAUCCCCGCGCUCAACGUGGGAACUGCCUUUGAAACGGGCAAACUGGAGUGUGUGAGAGGAUAGUGGAAUUCCAGGUGUAGGAGUGAAAUCAGGAGAUAUCUGGAGGAACAUCAGUGGCGAAGGCGACUAUCUGGCACAUAACUGACGCUGAGGAGCGAAAGCGUGGGUAGCAAACAGGAUUAGAUACCCUAGUAGUC
This 465-nucleotide ribosomal RNA is filed under the name uncultured bacterium. RNAcentral describes it as "partial 16S ribosomal RNA". It matches the Rfam family "Bacterial small subunit ribosomal RNA", at positions 338 to 795 of the family's 1533-position model. The record is from RNAcentral.